GAUGAACGCUGGCGGCGUGCCUAAUACAUGCAAGUCGAGCGAACAGACGAGGAGCUUGCUCCUCUGACGUUAGCGGCGGACGGGUGAGUAACACGUGGAUAACCUAUCUAUAAGACUGGGAUAACUUCGGGAAACCGGAGCUAAUACCGGAUAAUAUAUUGAACCGCAUGGUUCAUUAGUGAAAGACGGUUUUGCUGUCACUUAUAGAUGGAUCCGCGCUGCAUUAGCUAGUUGGUAAGGUAACGGCUUACCAAGGCAACGCUGCGUAGCCGACCUGAGAGGAUGAUCAGCCACACUGGAACUGAGACACGGUCCAGACUCCUACGGGAGGCAGCAGUAGGGAAUCUUCCGCAAUGGGCGAAAGCCUGACGGAGCAACGCCGCGUGAGUGAUGAAGGUCUUCGGAUCGUAAAACGCUGUUAUUAGGGAAGAACAAAUGUGUAAGUAACUAUGCACGUCUUGACGGUACCUAAUCAGAAAGCCACGGCUAACUACGUG
RNAcentral lists this ribosomal RNA (497 nucleotides) under uncultured bacterium. RNAcentral describes it as "partial 16S ribosomal RNA". It matches the Rfam family "Bacterial small subunit ribosomal RNA", at positions 28 to 507 of the family's 1533-position model. The record is from RNAcentral.